ACUUUCCCUCUGUGCGUCCUUUGGCAAUGACUGGCAGCUCAUCUUUGUUAUCCCGCUGUCCCUGGGGACCAGGAGCUCUUGUGCAAGUCUCUCUGCAAUGGGGUUUAGCUUGGAUUCUGUGGAACAAUGGCAUCAGAAACCAGCUUUGUUGCCAACUCCUCCCUGGAAUUAUGGGACCAUGGAAUUGUUUAGGUUGGAAAAGCACUUUAAGAUCAUCAAGUCCAACCAUUAACCCAGCACUGCCAAGGCCACCACUAACCCAUGUCCACAAAUGCCACAUCUACACGUGUUUGAACACUUGCAGAGGUGGUGAUUCUGGCACUUCCAUGGGCAGGAUCCCUUAGGGCUCCGUUCUUGGUGGGACAGCGAUGCUGAAUGCCACCUCAGCUCUACCCUUCCCACUCAGGAAUCUGGAAGGAGUGUGGCUGAAAAAUGAGAAUUUGGGGCUUCCCAUGGCCGUGGGACAGCUCUCCAUCCCUGAGGAGCAGGAAAACUUGGAUGUUUGGCCUUUUUGCCCACUGCAGGGGAAACUUUCCAUCGUGAUUUUCCUUUCCUCUCCUCUUUGGAGCUAAAACUCUCCUGAAUAAACAAGAAUGUGUGCUGGUCAA
Pseudopipra pipra is the source of this 608-nucleotide long non-coding RNA. RefSeq lists it as uncharacterized. Lineage: Eukaryota; Metazoa; Chordata; Aves; Passeriformes; Pipridae. The transcript is spliced from 2 exons. The record is from RefSeq and is a predicted model, not a curated record.